Molecule: long non-coding RNA, 157 nt
Organism: Condylura cristata (star-nosed mole)
Lineage: Eukaryota; Metazoa; Chordata; Mammalia; Eulipotyphla; Talpidae
Exons: 3
Source: RefSeq, a predicted model, not a curated record
CAGAGCCCACGGCGUGAACAAGCAAAUCAGCAAACACUGUCCUAGAGCUUGCUAGAGAAAGACACGAGAAGACGGAGAAAUGGCCACCUGGUGGAGCACCAGGGCACUGGAGACGCCCCGCCCUCUGAGACAGGGGCAGGUCACCAGCAGUUUGUUG